AAAGUUAAGUUCUUGUGGGUGAUGUUUUCAGCAUGUUUUUACAUACGAGUUUCUGGUCACAUAAACCGGUGGAAUAAUUGCUUUUCCUCAAUGAAGCUUGGUGAUGAGACUGGGGAAGAAUGGUGUGGAGGAAGUUUCGGAAUUGGGUCCUCUCUGAAACUUGGCUUUGCAGCUCCGAAAGUGACCAUACUUAUAGCUAAUUAGCUCACUUGCAACAUUUGAUGUUUGUAGGAGAAAGAUAUUGAGGGGUUGAGAUAAGGAAGGAAGCACUCUGGGCAUGCUUUGCAGUGGAACCUGAUUUUGAGGCAAUGAUUUCGACUUUAGCUUGUUAUCUGUCUAUUCAGUGAACUAGAAUUACUUCAAAGUUAGAGAGAAGGGGUUAGAAUGGCAUUGUGAAAAGUAUAACAGACCAUUGUGGACAAUCACUGCAUUAGAAUGGCAUUAUGUGGUUCCGGAUGCAACUAGUGACCAUGAAAUUCGGAAGGAAUCUGUAGGAGAAGAAGGGAAUCCAUAUUCAAGCUGUGAUAGAGCAAUGGACUGAGUUUCAAUAUGUUCAUAUUCUAAUAGUGCAAUAUUGGAAUUUUUGUUAAGUGUUACUCUUGGUUGUCUUCAUUAGGUGCUUGGUUUUGGGCAUAACUUUGUAUUUCUUCUAAUUACAUAUUUGGAUGAAUGCAUCAACUUAAUUACAUUGCUAUGAAA
Rosa chinensis is the source of this 699-nucleotide long non-coding RNA. RefSeq lists it as uncharacterized. The record is from RefSeq and is a predicted model, not a curated record. Lineage: Eukaryota; Viridiplantae; Streptophyta; Magnoliopsida; Rosales; Rosaceae. The transcript has 5 exons.